UUGGCUGAAACUAUACUUGGGCUAGGGAGC
Molecule: non-coding RNA, 30 nt
Filed under: Macaca fascicularis (crab-eating macaque)
Lineage: Eukaryota; Metazoa; Chordata; Mammalia; Primates; Cercopithecidae
Also listed under: 1 other name
Source: RNAcentral